Molecule: long non-coding RNA, 469 nt
Filed under: Medicago truncatula (barrel medic)
Lineage: Eukaryota; Viridiplantae; Streptophyta; Magnoliopsida; Fabales; Fabaceae
Description: lncRNA gene42034
Source: RNAcentral
GCCCUCCGGUUUUGGUUCCUAGAAAACAGAAAACGCAAGUUUUCUUUCUCGCUUCCAGAAAACGCGAUUCAGAAACCACCACCGGUUUUCUUCGCCGUCCGCCGCCAUAACCUUCAACCAUCGCCCUCCGACGGCUAUUGACAUCCCUCCUUCUCAAUCUCGUAUUCGAUUGAAUCCAUGUUGUUUUGGGAGGUUGGAUCUGUUUGAAAGAUUUUGAACAAGAAAACUGGACAGCUGCUAUUGGGAAGGAAAGUCUCUAAAGAAGGCUUAGAUCUUGUUAUGUGUAUUCAAUCAAGUCAGAUUUUGAUUACAUGUAUAUUAGAUUAAGUCUCUCUCAUGUAAUUUGGAUCUCAAUGUGUAUAUGAAAUUAAGUUUUAUCCAUCAAUUAAAUCAUUUUUUUUCAAUUUAUUUUUUGGUUAGUAUUAUGCUUUGUCAUGAUUUCUUCAUAACAAUGGUUACUCUUGAUUGA